GGGUAGAUGACUGAGUGGUUUAAAGUGCCAAUCUUGAAAAUUGUUGUGAAUUUUUUCACCGUAGGUUCGAAUCCUACUCUAUCCGA
This 86-nucleotide transfer RNA is filed under the name Balbiania investiens. RNAcentral describes it as "tRNA-Ser". It matches the Rfam family "tRNA". From Rfam's summary of the family: Transfer RNA (tRNA) molecules are approximately 80 nucleotides in length. Their secondary structure includes four short double-helical elements and three loops (D, anti-codon, and T loops). Lineage: Eukaryota; Rhodophyta; Florideophyceae; Balbianiales; Balbianiaceae. The record is from RNAcentral.